AAAGAGUUUGAUCCUGGCUCAGGAUAAACGCUGGCGGCGCACAUAAGACAUGCAAGUCGAACGGACUUAAUCGAUUCUUUUAGAUUCGAAGCGGUUAGUGGCGGACUGGUGAGUAACACGUAAGCAACCUGCCUAUUAGAGGGGAAUAACAGUGAGAAAUCACUGCUAAAACCGCAUAUGCCGUGAACAUCGCAUGAUGAAAACGGGAAAAGAGCAAUCUGCUAAUAGAUGGGCUUGCGUCUGAUUAGCUAGUUGGUGUGGUAAAGGCAUACCAAGGCAACGAUCAGUAGCCGGACUGAGAGGUUGAACGGCCACAUUGGGACUGAGAUACGGCCCAGACUCCUACGGGAGGCAGCAGUCGGGAAUAUUGCGCAAUGGAGGAAACUCUGACGCAGUGACGCCGCGUAUGGGAAGAAGGUUUUCGGAUUGUAAACCAUUUUAGACAAGGAAGAAAGAAGACAGUACUUGUAGAAUAAGCUCCGGCUAACUACGUGCCAGCAGCCGCGGUAA
RNAcentral lists this ribosomal RNA (510 nucleotides) under uncultured bacterium. Its description in RNAcentral is "bacterial SSU rRNA". It matches the Rfam family "Bacterial small subunit ribosomal RNA", at positions 1 to 523 of the family's 1533-position model. The record is from RNAcentral.